AAAUUGAAGAGUUUGAUCAUGGCUCAGAUUGAACGCUGGCGGCAGGCCUAACACAUGCAAGUCGAACGGUAACAGGAAGCAGCUUGCUGCUUUGCUGACGAGUGGCGGACGGGUGAGUAAUGUCUGGGAAACUGCCUGAUGGAGGGGGAUAACUACUGGAAACGGUGGCUAAUACCGCAUAACGUCGCAAGACCAAAGAGGGGGACCUUCGGGCCUCUUGCCAUCAGAUGUGCCCAGAUGGGAUUAGCUUGUUGGUGAGGUAACGGCUCACCAAGGCGACGAUCCCUAGCUGGUCUGAGAGGAUGACCAGCCACACUGGAACUGAGACACGGUCCAGACUCCUACGGGAGGCAGCAGUGGGGAAUAUUGCACAAUGGGCGCAAGCCUGAUGCAGCCAUGCCGCGUGUAUGAAGAAGGCCUUCGGGUUGUAAAGUACUUUCAGCGGGGAGGAAGGUGUUGUGGUUAAUAACCACAGCAAUUGACGUUACCCGCAGAAGAAGCACCGGCUAACUCCGUGCCAGCAGCCGCGGUAAUACGGAGGGUGCAAGCGUUAAUCGGAAUUACUGGGCGUAAAGCGCACGCAGGCGGUCUGUCAAGUCGGAUGUGAAAUCCCCGGGCUCAACCUGGGAACUGCAUUCGAAACUGGCAGGCUUGAGUCUUGUAGAGGGGGGUAGAAUUCCAGGUGUAGCGGUGAAAUGCGUAGAGAUCUGGAGGAAUACCGGUGGCGAAGGCGGCCCCCUGGACAAAGACUGACGCUCAGGUGCGAAAGCGUGGGGAGCAAACAGGAUUAGAUACCCUGGUAGUCCACGCCGUAAACGAUGUCUACUUGGAGGUUGUGCCCUUGAGGCGUGGCUUCCGGAGCUAACGCGUUAAGUAGACCGCCUGGGGAGUACGGCCGCAAGGUUAAAACUCAAAUGAAUUGACGGGGGCCCGCACAAGCGGUGGAGCAUGUGGUUUAAUUCGAUGCAACGCGAAGAACCUUACCUGGUCUUGACAUCCACAGAACUUUCCAGAGAUGGACUGGUGCCUUCGGGAACUGUGAGACAGGUGCUGCAUGGCUGUCGUCAGCUCGUGUUGUGAAAUGUUGGGUUAAGUCCCGCAACGAGCGCAACCCUUAUCCUUUGUUGCCAGCGAUUAGGUCGGGAACUCAAAGGAGACUGCCAGUGAUAAACUGGAGGAAGGUGGGGAUGACGUCAAGUCAUCAUGGCCCUUACGACCAGGGCUACACACGUGCUACAAUGGCGCAUACAAAGAGAAGCGACCUCGCGAGAGCAAGCGGACCUCAUAAAGUGCGUCGUAGUCCGGAUUGGAGUCUGCAACUCGACUCCAUGAAGUCGGAAUCGCUAGUAAUCGUGGAUCAGAAUGCCACGGUGAAUACGUUCCCGGGCCUUGUACACACCGCCCGUCACACCAUGGGAGUGGGUUACAAAAGAAGUAGGUAGCUUAACCUUCGGGAGGGCGCUUACCACUUUGUGAUUCAUGACUGGGGUGAAGUCGUAACAAGGUAACCGUAGGGGAACCUGCGGUUGGAUCACCUCCUUA
This 1542-nucleotide ribosomal RNA is filed under the name Salmonella enterica subsp. enterica serovar Derby. Its description in RNAcentral is "bacterial SSU rRNA". It matches the Rfam family "Bacterial small subunit ribosomal RNA". Lineage: Bacteria; Pseudomonadati; Pseudomonadota; Gammaproteobacteria; Enterobacterales; Enterobacteriaceae. The record is from RNAcentral.